RNAcentral lists this small nuclear RNA (24 nucleotides) under Arabidopsis thaliana (thale cress). RNAcentral describes it as "snRNA_06687". Lineage: Eukaryota; Viridiplantae; Streptophyta; Magnoliopsida; Brassicales; Brassicaceae. The record is from RNAcentral.
GUGGUGUGGAAAAAGUGCGAUGCG